RNAcentral lists this ribosomal RNA (1359 nucleotides) under Salmonella enterica. RNAcentral's name for it is "partial 23S ribosomal RNA". It matches the Rfam family "Bacterial large subunit ribosomal RNA", at positions 1589 to 2925 of the family's 2925-position model. The record is from RNAcentral. Lineage: Bacteria; Pseudomonadati; Pseudomonadota; Gammaproteobacteria; Enterobacterales; Enterobacteriaceae.
AGCAACAAAUGCCCUGCUUCCAGGAAAAGCCUCUAAGCCUCAGGUAACAUCAGAUCGUACCCGAAACCGACACAGGUGGUCAGGUAGAGAAUACCAAGGCGCUUGAGAGAACCCGGGUGAAGGAACUAGGCAAAAUGGUGCCGUAACUUCGGGAGAAGGCACGCUGACACGUAGGUGAAGCGGUUUACCCGUGGAGCUGAAGUCAGUCGAAGAUACCAGCUGGCUGCAACUGUUUAUUAAAAACACAGCACUGUGCAAACACGAAAGUGGACGUAUACGGUGUGACGCCUGCCCGGUGCCGGAAGGUUAAUUGAUGGGGUCAGCGCAAGCGAAGCUCCUGAUCGAAGCCCCGGUAAACGGCGGCCGUAACUAUAACGGUCCUAAGGUAGCGAAAUUCCUUGUCGGGUAAGUUCCGACCUGCACGAAUGGCGUAAUGAUGGCCAGGCUGUCUCCACCCGGGACUCAGUGAAAUUGAACUCGCUGUGAAGAUGCAGUGUACCCGCGGCAAGACGGAAAGACCCCGUGAACCUUUACUAUAGCUUGACACUGAACACUGGUCCUUGAUGUGCAGGAUAGGUGGGAGGCUUUGAAGUGUGGACGCCAGUCUGCAUGGAGCCGUCCUUGAAAUACCACCCUUUAAUGGCUGGUGUUCUAACGUAGACCCGUGAACCGGGUUGCGGACAGUGUCUGGUGGGUAGUUUGACUGGGGCGGUCUCCUCCUAAAGCGUAACGGAGGAGCACGAAGGUUGGCUAAUCCUGGUCGGACAUCAGGAGGUUAGUGCAAUGGCAUAAGCCAGCUUGACUGCGAGCGUGACGGCGCGAGCAGGUGCGAAAGCAGGUCAUAGUGAUCCGGUGGUUCUGAAUGGAAGGGCCAUCGCUCAACGGAUAAAAGGUACUCCGGGGAUAACAGGCUGAUACCGCCCAAGAGUUCAUAUCGACGGCGGUGUUUGGCACCUCGAUGUCGGCUCAUCACAUCCUGGGGCUGAAGUAGGUCCCAAGGGUAUGGCUGUUCGCCAUUUAAAGUGGUACGCGAGCUGGGUUUAGAACGUCGUGAGACAGUUCGGUCCCUAUCUGCCGUGGGCGCUGGAGAACUGAGGGGGGCUGCUCCUAGUACGAGAGGACCGGAGUGGACGCAUCACUGGUGUUCGGGUUGUCAUGCCAAUGGCACUGCCCGGUAGCUAAAUGCGGAAGAGAUAAGUGCUGAAAGCAUCUAAGCACGAAACUUGCCCCGAGAUGAGUUCUCCCUGAGACUUUAGUCUCCUGAAGGAACGUUGAAGACGACGACGUUGAUAGGCCGGGUGUGUAAGCGCAGCGAUGCGUUGAGCUAACCGGUACUAAUGAACCGUGAGGCUUAACCUU